GGGGGGCUGCUCCUAGUACGAGAGGACCGGAGUGGACGCAUCACUGGUGUUCGGGUUGUCAUGCCAAUGGCACUGCCCGGUAGCUAAAUGCGGAAGAGAUAAGUGCUGAAAGCAUCUAAGCACGAAACUUGCCCCGAGAUGAGUUCUCCCUGAGACUUAGAGUCUCCUGAAGGAACGUUGAAGACGACGACGUUGAUAGGCCGGGUGUGUAAGCGCAGCGAUGCGUUGAGCUAACCGGUACUAAUGAACCGUGAGGCUUAACCUUACAACGCCGAAGCUGUU
Molecule: ribosomal RNA, 282 nt
Filed under: Escherichia coli
Lineage: Bacteria; Pseudomonadati; Pseudomonadota; Gammaproteobacteria; Enterobacterales; Enterobacteriaceae
Description: partial 23S ribosomal RNA
Rfam family: Bacterial large subunit ribosomal RNA
Source: RNAcentral